GCGCCCGUAGCUCAGUUGGAUAGAGCAACGGAUUUCUAAUCCGUCGGUCGGGGGUUCGAGUCCCUCCGGGCGCG
RNAcentral lists this transfer RNA (74 nucleotides) under Phycisphaerae bacterium. Its description in RNAcentral is "tRNA-Arg". It matches the Rfam family "tRNA". From Rfam's summary of the family: Transfer RNA (tRNA) molecules are approximately 80 nucleotides in length. Their secondary structure includes four short double-helical elements and three loops (D, anti-codon, and T loops). Further hydrogen bonds mediate the characteristic L-shaped molecular structure. tRNAs have two regions of fundamental functional importance: the anti-codon, which is responsible for specific mRNA codon recognition, and the 3' end, to which the tRNAs corresponding amino acid is attached (by aminoacyl-tRNA synthetases). tRNAs cope with the degeneracy of the genetic code in two manners: having more than one tRNA (with a specific anti-codon) for a particular amino acid; and 'wobble' base-pairing, i.e. permitting non-standard base-pairing at the 3rd anti-codon position. Lineage: Bacteria; Pseudomonadati; Planctomycetota; Phycisphaerae. The record is from RNAcentral.